AUUGCUUCUCAGCCAUUUGGCUAAGACCAAGUGUAGUAUCUGUUCUUAUCAGUUUAAUAUCUGAUACGUCCUCUAUCCAAGGACAUUAAUAUCAAAUUGGAUUUUUGGAGCUGGGAGGUAGAAUAAUAUCUUGCUCCAUCUACUCUGCGCAUCGACUUUGUAUUGCAGUACUUCCAGGAACAGGGCACAAGAA
Molecule: small nuclear RNA, 193 nt
Organism: Phyllostomus hastatus (greater spear-nosed bat)
Lineage: Eukaryota; Metazoa; Chordata; Mammalia; Chiroptera; Phyllostomidae
Product: U2 spliceosomal RNA
Exons: 1
Source: RefSeq, a predicted model, not a curated record